GCAUAGUCACGUUACUACCAGAGGCUGGACAGAGCAGGAAAUGGAAUGGGAAGUUGUACAAGAUCUCAGUUAAUGGCCAUGAAAAAACCCAUGCCCCUGGAUCGCCUCAACAGGUGAUGACCCAGUUACAUUAAUAAUCCAGUAUAGGAUUUUAUUCUCCUUAUUUACACAUGGUACUCCCAUUUAGACUCGUUUGAGUGAUUUAGCUUCAGCAGGAAAAAGGAGAUUUAAAUCUCUGGUUUCUUCUAUGCCUGUUUCAAGAAAGAAAUUAACUGUACUGUACAAAAGCAAAAGAACUCCAGGCUACAGAAUCUGACUACACUGAAAAUAAAAGCAGCAGUGGCAUUGUAGCAGGGAGUUACAAACGGAGGUCACUCUUCACUUUUAAACUUUAUACUUCAGUAAGGAAGGUCAUGAUUCAAGUUCUUGAAGGGGAAAGUUUUGCUUAGUUUAGUUUUGACAUUUCAGUAAGUUCACCACCACUGGUACGCUCCUGAAAAAAAAAGAAAAANAAAAAAAAAAAAAAAAAAAAAAAAAAAAAAAAACAAAAACCAACCAUGGAUUAUCUCAGGUAUCUUUCCAACUAUUAUUCCAGUCAGUAUAUGUCAUUAUUUUGAGUUUGAACACUGUGCUGAUUGAUGCUCAAGUGAAUCAGCCUUUUUUUUUUUCUCAGUAUCAAGCAAUUCAUUAAAAAUCUUAUUAAUUUUAGGAGUCUUGGAUGCCCCUUUUCUUUGCUGUGACCUGAAUGAGCCAAUUCAUAGCAGAUAGUCUGACCAUUUUCACUCUGUCCAGAUCAUAUUGUUUGGAUGUCUUGGGAAAACUACUUUGGAGAAGAAGAGAAAGACAAUUUCCUUACCACAGAGAGCAGGGGGUGUAG
Molecule: long non-coding RNA, 877 nt
Filed under: Anser brachyrhynchus (Pink-footed goose)
Lineage: Eukaryota; Metazoa; Chordata; Aves; Anseriformes; Anatidae
Description: lncRNA (ENSABRG00000000687.1)
Source: RNAcentral